RNAcentral lists this transfer RNA (68 nucleotides) under Volucella nitobei. Its description in RNAcentral is "tRNA-Phe". Lineage: Eukaryota; Metazoa; Arthropoda; Insecta; Diptera; Syrphidae. The record is from RNAcentral.
AUUUAAAUAGCUUAUAUUUUAGAGUAUAACAUUGAAGAUGUUAGGGAGGUUAAUUAAAUCUUUAAAUA